GAUGAACGCUGGCGGCGUGCCUAAUACAUGCAAGUCGAGCGAACGGACGAGAAGCUUGCUUCUCUGAUGUUAGCGGCGGACGGGUGAGUAACACGUGGAUACCCUCCCUAUAAGACUGGGAUAACUUCGGGAAACCGGAGCUAAUACCGGAUAAUAUUUUGAACCGCAUGGUUCAAAAGUGAAAGACGGUCUUGCUGUCUCUUAUAGCUGCAUCCGCGCUGCAUUAGAUAGUUGUUACGGUAACGGCUUACCAAGGCAACCAUGCAUAGCCGACCUGAGAGGGUGAUAGGCCACACGGGAACGGAGACACGGUCCAGACUCCUACGGGAGGCAGCAGAAGGGAAUCUGCCGCAAUGGGCGAAAGCCUGACGGAGCAACGCCGCGUGAGUGAUGAAGGUCUUCGGAUCGUAAAACUCUGUUAUUAGGGAAGAACAUAUGUGGAAGUAACUGUGCACAGCGUGACGGUACCUAAUCAGAAAGCCACGGCUAACUACGUG
Molecule: ribosomal RNA, 497 nt
Filed under: uncultured bacterium
Lineage: Bacteria
Description: partial 16S ribosomal RNA
Rfam family: Bacterial small subunit ribosomal RNA
Source: RNAcentral